RNAcentral lists this long non-coding RNA (1405 nucleotides) under Homo sapiens (human). RNAcentral describes it as "HSALNT0200331". The record is from RNAcentral. Lineage: Eukaryota; Metazoa; Chordata; Mammalia; Primates; Hominidae.
AUCUGAGUAGAGAGUUUUUAAAAAUACUAUGAACAUUACAACAUUAUUUAUGACAUUGAGAAUAAUCCUACAGAGAGGCCAGUUGUUGCUGAAGCAAAAUGAAGGGAUAACCCAGAGACAGAAGGAUCUAAUAAGAAGAUGAGAGAUGCGAGCCAGAGCAUAAUGGAGGGAAUAUCCUGUCAUAGAAAGAGAGAUAACAUCUCAAGUACAAAACAAGGAAGGAGAGGAGAUGGGUGUGAUGUUUGAGAAUAGGAAAAUGAGGAAGAUUAAUCUAAUAGUUUCUAUUCUUGGUGAAUUAUGAAGGAUAUUAACUGAGAAUGUGGGUGUAAAAGUCCUCUGGAAACAUGGCAAGUUAAGAGUAGAAUUACAAAGCAAUAUUGAAUGUCUGUCUUAGUUCAUUUAGACUGCUGUACCAAAAUACCAUAAACUAGCUGGCUUAUAAAAACAACAGACAUUUAUUUCUCCCAGUUCUGGAGGCUCGAAGCCCAAAAUCAAGGCACCAAAAGAUUUGGUGUCUAGUGAGGGCCCACUUCCUCACUGAUGGCUGUCUUCUCACUGUAACGUCACAUGGUAGAAGGGACAGGGAUCUCUUGAGCCUCUUGAGUAAGGGUACUAAUUCCAUUAAUGAGGACUUCAUCCUGACAAUCUAAUCACCUCUCAAAGGACCCACCUCCUAAUACCAUCCCCUGAGGGGUGAGGAUUUCAACAUGAAUUUGGGGAAACAUAAACAUUCCAACUACAGCAGUGCCCAUUUGAACACUGUAAUCAUGAAUUUCGAGUAAAGCCAAUUAGUCCAUUUGUGUCAUCUUUUUCCUCAGGUAAUAUCCACCUGCUCAAAUGAAGGCACAGAGAAAGAAAUGGAAAAGUUCAACCACAUAAGGGUUUUGCCAUUCAAACACCUUUCCUCUCUGAAAGAAGGGCAGACAUGCCUUUUCCAGGUUAUACUUAUGCCAAAUGAAAAUAGUUCAAAAUGCAAACUAUGGAGUAAUAGCAAAUUUAGGUGUUAUAUUAAUAGAUUAUUACUUACAAUGUUUUAUUUUGCCUUAGCUCUCAAGAUCAUAUAUACCACAUUUUUCCUGUGAGUCUUUCACUGAUUACCUCAGUUUUGCCCUAUGUUGUAUUUCCUUUUCCAUUAGUGCAUUUUCUAAAAACACAUCAAUAGGAUAUAUAUCUACAGGACAGCUGCAAUAAUUGCUGCUCUAGAAAUAUUUUAAUAUUUUAUUUGAAAAAACCAGGUAAAAAGCACAAUAAAUUUUCCCUAUAAAACAAAGGAAUUCACUCAUAGCAAGGUAUCAAUCUUCUUUCUCUGUAGAAAUAAAUUAUAUACAAUUUAAGCUCUUGAUUUAUACUUUAUUUUCUGUCUUUAUAUGUAACACAUACUAAUCAAAGGGAAAAAACUAAAAAU